Eurytemora carolleeae is the source of this 569-nucleotide long non-coding RNA. RefSeq lists it as uncharacterized. Lineage: Eukaryota; Metazoa; Arthropoda; Copepoda; Calanoida; Temoridae. The transcript has 2 exons. The record is from RefSeq and is a predicted model, not a curated record.
UGCUCAGUGAGAUUUGUUCAAAUAUAAAGGAGAAGCAAGGAACCUAUGAUUGCGGACAAUUCAGCACAAAUAAAGUCCUCUAAACAGGCAGUUAUAUAUGUAUGUGGAUUUAUUGCCAAAAAACUCAGAACAAAAGUUCCCGGCCUUGACAGAGUCAGUGAGGAUAAAACAAACUGAUUGGAUAGAAUUAAAAUCAAGAGGAUCCCUGGUUUAUCCAUCUAAAGAUCUUUUGGAAGAAGUUGAGAAAUAAGAGAAAAUAUUUCAAAAAAUACAUGGAGAGUCACUGGAUAGAGGUCGAGAUCCAGUCGAAAAAACAAUUUCAGCUAUUGCUGCAAUAAGCAAUCGAUGGCCUUGGGAAGUUAUUAAACUUUUUGUAAAUGUUAGAUUUUUCAGUAGACUGAAAAAAACUCAUUGUAAUCUUUAAGGAAAAUAGUAAAAAUAAUGUCAGAACACUAAAACUGACUGCUCAAUUUAUGUUUUAGAAUUAUGGUGUAGUUAAAAGCUUGAUGGUCUCCUUGUUUUAAAAUAGAAUGUUAAAAAGUGUAUAAGAAUAAAUAUAUUAUGAUAUG